GGUCCUAAGCUGAGGCCGACAGGCGUAGGCGAUGGAUAACAGGUUGAUAUUCCUGUACCACCUAUAAUCGUUUUAAUCGAUGGGGGGACGCAGUAGGAUAGGCGAAGCGUGCGAUUGGAUUGCACGUCUAAGCAGUAAGGCUGAGUAUUAGGCAAAUCCGGUACUCGUUAAGGCUGAGCUGUGAUGGGGAGAAGACAUUGUGUCUUCGAGUCGUUGAUUUCACACUGCCGAGAAAAGCCUCUAGAUAGAAAAUAGGUGCCCGUACCGCAAACCGACACAGGUAGUCAAGAUGAGAAUUCUAAGGUGAGCGAGCGAACUCUCGUUAAGGAACUCGGCAAAAUGACCCCGUAACUUCGGGAGAAGGGGUGCUCUUUAGGGUUAACGCCCAGAAGAGCCGCAGUGAAUAGGCCCAAGCGACUGUUUAUCAAAAACACAGGUCUCUGCUAAACCGUAAGGUGAUGUAUAGGGGCUGACGCCUGCCCGGUGCUGGAAGGUUAAGAGGAGUGGUUAGCUUCUGCGAAGCUACGAAUCGAAGCCCCAGUAAACGGCGGCCGUAACUAUAACGGUCCUAAGGUAGCGAAAUUCCUUGUCGGGUAAGUUCCGACCCGCACGAAAGGCGUAACGAUUUGGGCACUGUCUCAACGAGAGACUCGGUGAAAUCAUA
Molecule: ribosomal RNA, 664 nt
Filed under: Staphylococcus aureus
Lineage: Bacteria; Bacillati; Bacillota; Bacilli; Caryophanales; Staphylococcaceae
Description: partial 23S ribosomal RNA
Rfam family: Bacterial large subunit ribosomal RNA
Source: RNAcentral